Molecule: long non-coding RNA, 10904 nt
Filed under: Homo sapiens (human)
Lineage: Eukaryota; Metazoa; Chordata; Mammalia; Primates; Hominidae
Description: PREDICTED lncRNA (TCONS_00229630)
Source: RNAcentral
AUACAGGUGACCGUAUCCUGAGCCCCGGGCAGAGGCAGGACCGAGCCGCAAUCUGAACAGAAAUCCAGGUCCGACUGAAAGCUGGAGCAAGUAUUGGCGAGGUCCAUGACAGACAUGCGGUCGGGUCUGAGGAGGGAGUUGGAAGUUUAUUAACAAAAGAGAGAAGAGUUCCUGUCCCAGAGGUCGUAACUAUUCUGUCCCAGGACCUAGGAGUAUAUAACCCGAACCCUCCUGCCACGCACGCCUCCUGCCUCUGCGACCAAGGAGCCGAAACGCCCGGAAUUCCCAGACAGCGUCGGGUACUAAAGGACUUGGAACCCUUUCCAGGGGCCGGUGAGAGGAGUUAACCAACUCCGUGGGCUAGAGCGCCAGCUCUGCGCCCGCGGCGGGGCAGCGAGAUAGAGCCGGCUAGAGCGUCAGGCUUUCGCGUUGACGAUUGGCUGUGACGUCAUAAUUAAUUGCGAACCGUGUCUCGGGAGCGUUAGAGAUGGAGACUAACGUCUUCCAAGGGAGAUUGCGUCUCCACUUUCACCCUGGUACUGAGAGGUUGAGCACAAAAUUGGAACGCAGUCGCGGGGUAUAUCCCCCUGAAAACCGUACGUUGCCAAAUAAUGAUUUCUUUGGAUUAGAGAACUACAACUCCCCUGGGUCCUGAGCCGGUAUUUCCCUUUUGCGGCUGCACCGUAGUUAAAAACAAAGCUAAGUGUUCUGGGACGUAUAGUUCUAGCGUUCCUUGGGUCCCGCUGGCGAGCGUGGGCUUUCUGCAGCUCGCAACCGGCCUCGUGCUUUGCGGACGGUUCACUGCGCUUGGAAAGGGAUUGGCCUGGGGUACAUCAUCUAAAGAUCCUAGGAUUGCUGCAGGUCAGCAGUCUCCACUGGAAAAAAAGAUCUUGGAACACAGAUGAAAUGAGAAACAAAAACGAUGGAGAAAACCAAAAAAGGGGACACAUGGGAUCCAGGCAAUAGGAGAGCCAGCAUAAGAGAGAGCCAGAGGGAUGCCCAGGAUGAGGUGAAGACGAUCUUGGAAAUCAGCCCAGAUGUGCAUGCACCAGUCCACGUGUGGCAGGACCAAGGGAAGUGUCUUCACAAAGAUGAGGCUUUGAUUUGUUGGAGAAACUGUUACCAGAAAAACAGGUCCCGAUCCCGACCCCAAAAGAGUAUUCUUGGAUCUUGCACAGGAAGGAAUUAAAGGUGAGUCACAGAGUGCAGUGAGAAGGAGAUAGUUUAUUGAAAGUUACUCAGAUACAGAGUAGGUGUCCUCAGAAAGCAAAAGGAAGAAUGCACCAUCUUUGUUGUAAACUCUUCUAAUGUAGGGGUUUAAUCUACAUAAAAGCUAAGUUAAAUGUCUAUGUGUGGGUGCUCUGACAGCAUGACAAAAUUUAGGACCUAUUGAUUUAAAGAAAGUUAUCCUUGGCAUUUUAGUUAGUAUAUCAAAGCAUGACUAUAAUAAUCUUAAAAGCAUAUAUUAUAAUGUGACGUCAGGACAUGUGGACAUUCUGUUGUCUGUCAUAGGCGUUUGUUCUUGCAGGCAUUAUUAAGUUGUUUAAUCAGCUGUAAACCUCUUAUGACCAUGGGUUGUGACUGGCAAGGAAUAUGCCUUGCUAGUUGAAAGAUGGAGUUGACUUUAAAAUGGUGUCACCCUGGCUCUCCUAUGCUUCUGUUUCCCCAAAAAAGCCAGGUUACUUGUCCUGUAGAAUGAUCCACAUUCUGAGUUUGGCUAAUGACAUUCUCAUGGUAUUAACUUGUUUCUUUAUAUGUUGUUUUUUCUGUUACCCACAAAAUAAUUCUUCUGAUACACAUUUGUAAUCUUACCAUGCCAGCAUCUGCUACUCUUCAUGUUACCAAAUUUCUGUUCAAGGACCACUAAAGCCACAGUCAGUGGACAUUCUGAGACCUCUAGGGGAGGGUGGAGAUGCUGUCCUUUAAUAUAGUCUGACCCAAGCAACCUCCCCACUUGGCAUGGUGAAUCUAGACAAGCUAAAGAAUUUACUACGCCCCAGGCCUGCACCAGCCCUCUCCUAAGACCUUGGGCACUCUCAUUUCCCUUUUUUUUUUUUCUAAAGGAAGUCAUAGUUUCUCAUAACCUUUGCUAGUGAUCCUGGACCUUGGUUGUUCCCUGAGGCUGUGUUCUCCACACUGCUGCCAUCACUGCUACAGCAGAGGUGCAGAAAGCUCAGGAGAGAGAAGGGAGGAAAAGCUGAAGAUUUUGUGUUAUUCAUGCUUUCCUGACUCCGGCGAAAGUGCUUCCUCCACCUGCAACCAUUUCUGUUUCUAUACUGCUGAGUCUUGUGUUCCCAAGACCAAGGGAAGCCCAUUUUCUUUAAAGCCAGUCACAGUUUCUGUUGGCUGAUGGAAUAUCUGUUGUCCAGCAGUUGUAUUCCUGCUCACAAAUGCAAAACAGUUUGAUGCCACGCACAUUCCAGGGCUUAGACUGGAAAUGCUGUCCCUUGCCCCUUUGUUACCUUCUGACAGGGAUCAGUCCAUAGUGUAGUUGGUGUCACAACAGUCCCGAAGAAGCCUUCCAAUAGAUACCCAAAUGUGAUUCAAAGUGGCACAGGCACACACCACGGUGCCACAUGGUGCCUAUGUAAAGCAGGUAUAUCAGGAAUGCUAAGCAGAGAAGUAGCAGAACACACUGAUCCCCAUGUUCUCAUUGUACAGUUGGGUGCAAUUAAGCUGGCACAAUGGACUCUUCUCAUGGCUACUGUUCCAGUAGUGUGGAUGCCCCCAAAUGCUGCAUAUUUACUAGGACAGCCAGGCAGAGACAGCUGUGUACUAUGAUACAACAGUAGUCCCUCUUAGAGGAAGUGACCUUGUUAGAAGUGGGAGUUUCUGAAGCUCUUCAGCUGUUACUGGCCUGCUCUUCCAUAGCGUUACUUCAGACCUGCUGGCCCAGCUAUCCACUCCGCUAACAGGUCUGUCUCUGCUAACAGGUCUAGCUCUGUCUCCUCAGCACAUGUUCUAGGCUCUGACUGCAAGUGCUGACUUGGGCUCCCAGCCCCACACAGACCCUCUGUUCCAUGAAAGGGCCAUCUAUGCAAAGUGCCCCCCAAAUGCCAAAGGAGCCAAUAAACCAAGGAACAAGACAGACAAAUCUAGUUGUCAGUAAAGAGUGUUUUAUUGGGGAACUUACAGACAGAAGCGUGGUCUUGGAUGGCAGGAAGACAGGUAGGUUUCUGCACUUAUUACCCCCACACCCAGGGCUUAUAUACCACAGGGGAAGAGUAUACAUGCUCUGUGCAAGACAAAGGCUACUACUGUCCAGAACAGGUAAGAAUGCUAAUGUGUCAUAGCCUAGAAUUUGUAUAACAUCAAGGUUGACAUGUUCUUACAAUAGGGAUGGUAAAUAAAGUGGGAAUCAGGAGUCAGUCCUGGGACUGGGGCUAAUCAGAAGUCAGCAUAGAGAAUUAGCAUCCAAGAGGGAGUCACUUUUCUCUCCACAUCCCAGCCCUCUAAUCCAGCUCUUACAAUCUCAUGGACUCACAUUUCCCCCAUAGUCCCUGAGCCUUCAGAGAGGGCUGUGGGUGACAUUUUGAUGGUGUGAGUGACACAUUUUAUCAAUUUGUUUUCUACUUGUUAAGCAGGGGCCACAGCAACAACACAAACAACAGGCGAUGAUAUGUAUGCCAGGUGUAAGACACAGAAUUAAAAAUGCCCUUUACCAUGUUUAUUCAGGAACCAAACCAAGAGGUAUAGAGCAGAACAACAAUAGGAACAGAAGACUAUGGGUGGAAUUAAAAAUGUUUAGUAGGUAUUUGGUGGGGCAGUUCUUCCCCAUUAAACAGAAUUACUGGUAGCUCCAUCUCUGUUGAUUAGGAACAUAGGAUUGUGGGCUGGGAGUACACACCAAACAUGUUGCCUGAGGGGCAAAGGCGCUGGUAUUAUGUGUAAGGUUACAGGGGCAGCAAAGGACCAUGUCAAAUGGCCAGCCAGGGUGCUUCUUAAAAGGGACUGUGUUCCAGUUUAUUGGUAUGUGGAGUGUUUUGGCCCAGACUUCAGCAGGAUCAAUGGAGACCACUUUAGUUGGUAGGGAAUUCCUUGCUGUCUGGAAAGAAAUGCUCUAUCCAACAUAGGGGAAGUUGCUAGUCCAACCCCCAUUCAAGUGUCUCCUCCCUGGCUCAAGAUCUUGAGGAGUUCUAAAUAACCUUUGCCAUUGGCCUUUUAUCUGCUCAGGUCAGAGAUGCAUCUGGUUGGACUUUCUUUACUAUUAUGGUUAAUGGAUCCAUCUCUGUGGUGGUCCUGAGUCAUUGGUGUGGUGCCAGCACCAUAUUUGUCUCAACUAAAUUAAGGUUUCUAAUGGCUUGAGGCAAAAUCUUUGUCUAACUAUGAAAGAUAUUGGAUUUUGAGAGUGCUCAAAACUGUGCCUUCAAAAUACCAUUUUUCCUUUCAAUCAACCCUGUUGCUUGGGGGAGUAUACAGUAAGUGAAAUACCCAGUCUAUGUCCCUUUCAUGCAUCCAGUCUUGGACACCGUGUCUGGUGAAAUGCAUGCCUCGAUUGCUAUCAAUAUGUGGAGGGUAUCCUUACAUGACACUGAGUUGCUCCAAGCCCCUGAUGGUGGCUGUUUGGUUUGCUCUUACAAGGGAAAGCUUGCAACAAUCCCAUGGCAGUGUAUACACAUGUUAGUGCAUACUUUCGUCUCAAGAUUACUGGCAAGGGUCUGAUGUAGUCUAUCUACCAGUCUGUCACAGGGGUGGCUGUCUUAUGUAUAUGUCCAGGUGUAUGUGGGAUGUGGCAGAGGUACAGACGGGAACAAAUUAAGCAGUUUGCUACCGCCACCACUAAAUCUGCAUAGCAGAGAGCCAAUCCUGCUCCCUUUGCUAUUUGGCAGCCCAUUCAUGCACUGAAAUCCCCACUGUGAUAUGUACCUAAUCAACUAGCUCAGUAUUCUAAUUUUUGCUAGGAUGUCUGCCUCCAUGUUUCUGGGAGGUGAAUCUGACCAGUGUGCUGAAGCAAUUAGGUCCACAGUGGGUUCCUGUAGACUUUUCCAAAUGUCUUUCCACAUAUCAGCUCCCCAUAAGGAUUUUUAAAUUAUAUACCAAUCAUCUCAGGCCCUUUGGGCAAGCCAAAUUGUAAGACCCUUAAGUACUGCCAGACUGUCUGUACAGAGAACUAUAGGUGGUGGCUCACGGGUACAAACCAACCAUGUAGCUUGGAGUUCUGCCCAUUGACUGCUCUGUUGCAUUCCCAUCUCAAACCAGAUACUGUCUGUGGUUGUGCAGCUACUACUGUCCAUACACAGGGUUACCUUGGCUCAAUGCAUCUAAGUACCAAGCAUUAUCAGGAAUGAGGGCCAUGCCUUCAUGUACCAUUGGAGACAUCUCCUGUGAGGGCUCCACAAUAGGGGCAGCACUGGACUCAUAAUGUACUGGCCCUAAGAUAGCAUGCAGUUCAUCUCUUAAGGGAUGCAUGGAGAAGGCACUAUGUUGUUGCAUGUAUGCAUGGCACUUUUGUAAAGUGGAAACUUGGGCAAUAGCUGAUACAGGCCUGGCAAACACUCCUACCCAGUCCUUGAUAGGAAACCUGUUCUCCCUGGUACCAGGAAAGCAGCAGUUAUGGAUUCAACUUGUGGCAAGACCUUCUAUAUCCCCAGGACCUGUUAUUCAACUGGGAAAUAGCAGGUUUCAGUACCCUUCCAUUAAUUGUGACUAAAAUUCUAAAGGAACUGCUUCCCUAUGCUGGACUUUAUAUUUUCAUCAUCCAAAAUUAUAGUUUAGUUUUACCUUUAAAAAUAUGUUUUUUGUUCUCAUUUGUUCCAUAGGUUUCUCCUUGAAAUUUAUAUUGUAUGGUAAGGUUUCCUAUUGUUUGCAUUUUGUGGAUUGCACGCCAAGGUGUGGUUUAAUGUAUUUCUAUUACCUGUAUUUUCUGUAAAUUGGUAGUUUGGUAUAGAGGUUUGUGUACAUUCAGGGUUUUUUUUUUUCUGUAAGUAUUGAUGGUUCUGUAAAAGGAAAAUAAAAUCUUGGGGCCCCAAAAUUACUAAGCUAAAGGGAAAAGUCAAGCUGGGAACUGCUUAGGGUAAACCUGCCUCCCAUCUGUUCAGAGUCGCCCCUCUGCUCACUGAGAUAAACACAUGUCUGAUUCCCUCAUUUGGAAAGGCUAAUCGGAAACUCAAAAGAAUGCAACCAUUUGUCUCUCAUCUAUCUGUGACCUGGAAGCCCCCUCCUUGCUUCGAGUUGUCCCGCCUUUCCAGACGGAAUCAAUCUUUAGCUUACAUAUGUUGAUCACUGUCUCAUGUCCCCUUAAAAUGUAUAAAACCAAGUUGUGCUCUGACCACCAAAGUUGUGCUGAGAAGUGACACCAAAGAACAUGGUGGCAUAAGAACUCCAAGGACCCCUCCCCUCCACAGCGGCAAUGUGCUUGUUGAAACACCAGUAUAAAAAAACUCGAUGAGAGCUGUGAUUGGAUUUAGUGUUGAUAUAUUUUUUGUAAAUUGUGGUAAAACAUGCAUACUAUAUAAUUUACCUUCUAACCAUUUUUUCAGUGUACAAUUUGGUGGCAGUAAGCACAUUUACAAUGUUGUGUAACCACCGCCAAUAUCCAUUUCCAGAACAUUUUCAUCAUCCCAAACAGAAACUGUACCCAUUAAACCAUAACUGCCCAUUCUCCCUACCCCCAGCCCCUGGUAAUCUCUAUUCUAUUUUCUGUUUCUAUGAAUUUGCUUAUUCUAGCUACUUUAUAUAAGUAAAAUAUCAUAUUUGUUUUUAUUUCUGGCUUAUUUCACUUAUAGUGUUUUCAAGGCUCAUCCAAUUAGAAUUUCAUUCACUUUUAAGGCUGAAUAAUAUUCCAUGCUUAUGUGCACCGUGGGUUGUUUAUCCAGUCAUCCUCUGAUGGACACUCGGUUGCUUCCACCUUUUGGAUAUUGGGUAUAGUGCUGCUAUGGGCCUGAGUGUACACAUAUCUGGGUGAGUUCCUGCUUUCAGUGCUUUUGGGUAUGCCCAAAAGUGGAAUUGUUGGCUCAUAUAGUAAUUCUAUUUUUACUUUCUUGAGGAAUCACUAUUCUGUUUUCCAUGGUGGCUGCACCACUGUAUACUCUCACCAGCAGUGUACAAGUGUUCCAGUUUCUCCAUAUCUUCACCAACACUUGGCCUAGUGAAGUUUACCAUAUUUUUAUGUCCUUAUUGGCAUUCCUUUUUUUUUUUUUUUUGUGAAACAGAGUCUUGCUCUGUUGCCAGGCUGGAGUGCAGUGGCACAAUCUCGGCUCGCUGUAACCUCCACUUCCCAGGUUCAAGUGAUUCUCCUACCUCAGCCUCCUGAGUAGCUGGGACUACAGGUACCUGCCACCAUGCCCAACUAAUAUUUGUAUUUUUUUGGUACAGACGGGGUUUCACCAUGUUGGCCGGGAUGGUCUUGAUCUCUUGACCUCGUGAUCCGCCCACCUCGGCCUCCCAAAGUACUGGGAUUACAGGCAUGAGCCACCAUGCCUGACCAGCAUUCCUUAUUUUUAUGUCCUUAUUGUAUAUCUUCUUUGGAGAAUUGUCUAUUCAUGUCUUUUACUUAUUUUUGAAUGAGAUUGUUUUGCUAUUGUUGAAUUGUAGUUCUUUACAUAUUCUGGAUAUUAAUUCUUUAUCAGAUAUGUGAUUGGCAAAUAUUUCCUCCUGGUCUGUGCAUUUUCUUUUGAUUCUCUUAAUAGUGUCCUUUGAUGCAAAAAAGUUUUUAAAUUUUGAUGCAUUCUAAUUUGUCAUUUUUCUUAUAUUACUUGUACUAUUGGUCACCAGCCAAGAAACCACUACCAAUUCUAAUGUCCAUAAGAUUUUCCUCAGUAUUUUCUUGAGGGUUUUACAGGUUCAAUUCUUAAGAUUAGUUCUUUGAGUCAUUCUGACUUAAUUUUUGAAAAGGGUGUAAUGGAAGGACAUGAAUUUUUUCCAGCAUCAUUCUUUUGCAUGUUGAUAUCCAGGUUUCCAGCACCAUUUGUUGAUGCACCAUCUGUUGCAGUGGGGCUGACACAUUUGUAAGAUGCAGUGAGCAUUAAUACAUGGGAGCACCAUGCAUUUAUUUACCUGUCUUUACUUCACAGUUGUUUUGAGAAGGCUUUCACUGACAGACUCAACAGAAAUGAAUAUAUAUGACUUCUUAUAAAAUCAUAUUCAAGUAAAAUUAUAAAUUUUAAAAUGUUAAGACUGGAGCAAGACUGGAACAUCACUAGACAAGCUGAAACAUAGGCUGAAAUGAAGGGUUAUGUUUACCUUGCUACAAAUUCUGUUGGCCCACAAUCUCUUAUGCUUAUUGCUUAAGAGAGCCACAGAGUGGGGUGAUAGCUCACAUAACCAGUCCCUGGUUUUCUGCUUCAGAAAGAAGUUUAAAUAUUCUGCUUAGACAGAGUAAGGAAAUUAACUGAAAGAUGUCUAAUGUGAAGUUGGCAUCUACAAAGUGAAGGAGUGAGUAGUAAGUGUAAACAUCAGGAAUCCCAGGAGAUUCUAUCUUUUUGCACGGAAAUGGCCUCACUAUGCACUGCUGAAGGGAGAAGGUCCCUUCAGGGGACCUUCAUGAUGAAGAAGAACACAAUAUGAUAUAGGAAUUUUCUGCUGCAGCCCUAAACUGAAUUGUCCUUCUCUCUAACUACAGGUCUCACAAAGUUUUAUAGCUUCAAUGAUUUCACCUGGGCCAAGAUUUUGGUUUUUUUUGAUGUUAUUUGUUUGAACUGCUGCCUGGGGCUUAGAAAAGUGACUUGGAUAUUUUGUCAAAAUGGAUUUUCUUUGAUGGAAUGUGAAAUCCGUAAACACUCUGCUUUCCUGCUGUAUCCCCAGAGCAGGUUGAGUACCUUGCACUUCUUCUCAGCACUUCGCUAGAAGUGGUAGAAGAUUUGGAGUUAGGGCCUCCCUCAAUCCCUACCCUUUCUUUAAUUCAGAGGAUCACAAACUGUUGGGAGAAGAGUGGUAUCUUGGGCCUCUAGCUGAUCUGAUGAAUAUUAAUAUCCAAUGUCCUGUAGUGAAGUCAUGUGUGCGUGUAACAUCACUUCUUCACGCAGUGUCAUAGGAAAGUGGGUUCCUGGACCCCAGGUUAAGAGCCUAAGCACUAAAGGCACAGAGCUAGAGCUCUAGGAGGGGAGGGAUGGCUGGGGUGGAACCUCGUCUUGUCAUUUAGUCCUGGGGCCUUUUCACUCCUUACAUGGUGGGUGGUGGGCGUCUGGCAGGUGCCGAUGUUGAUGGAGUCAAGGGAGGGAACUAGCCGGGACAGGGAAAAACAGGGUUGGAGAGAUAAUUAAGGUGGACGUUAUUUUUUCUGAGCGUAAGUCGUGGCUGGAAAUCUGGAGAGCCUGAAAGAGUAUCCCCCUACCCAAACCUGUUUUUUCCUUUUCCCUCAAGCCUCAUUUGGCCACAGGCCCAGUGUCAACACCAGGGGGCGCCACAGACCAUGAAGGCACCGUGCAGCUGGGAUUGUUUGUGGUCGGCUACUGGGUCCCUGACUUAACCAGGGGAGCCAAGACCCUGUAGCCAAGUGGCCUGGAUUCAACCUGCAGCUCAGGUCUUACUGACACUUCUCCCCCUGGUGCCUCAGUUUCUUAAUCUGUGAAAUGGUGAGGACAUUACAGCAUUUACCUCUGGGGCGGGUUUCUCAACAGCAGCACUAUUAACAAUUUGGGACAGAGAAUCUUGUGGAGUGGUCUGUCCUGUGCAUUGUGGGAGGUUUGCCAGCAACACCCCACUCACCCCCUCCCACCAAUCCCCAUGUGACAACCGAAAAUGUCCCAGGAUUUUUAGGUCUCCCUUGGGUCUAGAAGCUGCACUUAGGCAUUUUCCCACCUGACACUUGAGUUCAUCUCUGCUUUGGUCCACAUAAGGCCACUUUAAAAAAAUGUUGUUUCUUUAAAGAUUCUAACCAUCUUUUAAACAAAUCCAUUUUCUUCCUCUAUUUCUGCAUUCAGUUAAUCCUUCCAAACCCUUUGUUUAGUAUAUCUUGAAAUGUAUCAAUUCCUGUUCUAGUAAUUAACAUAUGUGACUUGCAUGAUAUCUGCUAUGACCCUUAGUAGAGCUCUGAUUCCUUUAGCACAGGGAAUGUGUUCUCGAUUCUGCUCUGGAUGAUGUAAAUCAAUUUAUUUUACUUUACUUGUCUGGGAUGUUGCUCCUCAUCUGUAAGAUGUAAAUGUGGAUAUGGCUUGGAUUACUAAGUGGUUUUAUUUCUUAAUUCACCUGACAUUUGUUGUGUGCCUGCUGCAAGUCAAAUACAUGGCAUGGUAUUGUUUCCUUGUUCACACCACAGCAAAUGAGAAAAUGAGACAUUAUAGCCAGGUGUGGCGGCACAGGCUUGUGGUCCUAGCUACUCGGAAGGCUGAGGCAGGAGAAUUGCUCCAGCCCAGGAGUUUGAGGUUACAGUAAGGUAUGAUAUCACCAUUGCAUUUCAACCUGGGCAACAGACCCUGUCUCUGAAAAAAGGGAAAAAGACCUUGUGAGCUGUCUACGUGUACUCUAUGUCUCAGGAGACUCAUAUCCUGUAAUUUUUCUAAAUGGCGUCUCCAUGUGGUCUUUCAUGAAUGUUUGUCUGGUAUUCUCUAUCCUUUUACUUUCAACUUUUCUUUACCUUCUACUGAAAUUAUGUCUUUUGUAAACAGCCCAUGAUUAUUUAUUUAGUUAUUUAUUUUUACCCCCCUGCACUAUUUGUCUUGUAAUUGGAGUGUCUGAGUCCAUUAUGUUUAAUGUAAUUAUUGACCUCAUUGGGUUUAAGUCUGUCCAUUGUCAUUUGCUGCCUUCUAAUAUUAUCUCUUUCUUGCUCAACUAUUUUUCUUAUGUUACCUUCUUUAGAUGAAUAAAAACCUUUGCAUUAUUGUAGUCUUCUAAGUGUCCUAAUUACACAUUCUCUUAUUAUUUCUUUAAUUAUCUGAGAAAGCAUAAUGAUCUGUGACUUAUUAUAACCAAUAGCAGACCACAACUUCCCUGACUUUCACCUACCUGUGCCCACAGCCCAGGGGAGA